AAAAGUUUUAGUAUAGUAAUAGUAUAAUUUAUUGUCAAUAAAUAGGGAAAUAACUUUAAG
This 60-nucleotide transfer RNA is filed under the name Macropostrongyloides woodi. RNAcentral describes it as "tRNA-Asp". The record is from RNAcentral. Lineage: Eukaryota; Metazoa; Nematoda; Chromadorea; Rhabditida; Strongylidae.